RNAcentral lists this long non-coding RNA (1648 nucleotides) under Bemisia tabaci. Its description in RNAcentral is "lncRNA ENSSSA1UGG012459". Lineage: Eukaryota; Metazoa; Arthropoda; Insecta; Hemiptera; Aleyrodidae. The record is from RNAcentral.
AAAAACAGCUUUUCUGAUGUAUAUCUUAAAAAAAUCCUAGGGAAGUCGACUGAUUAUCCCCCUAGAAACAGUGACUGAUUUUCUUUUGUUUUCCGGGGACUUUAGCCGUGUCUAUUAUAUUUGAAGAGACAUUUUUCCAACAGACGGCUGAGAAAUUAGGAUUUCCUUCUAUGCUAUCAGAGUGGCGACUUAUCGCCGUAUUGCUAUCAAAGAAUAAAAUCUUUUUAUGUGUCGCCUGACGUAAUUUCUUUCGAUAUAAUUGAACCGCAGUGGAACUGAAUGAUGCGUUAUCACUAUAUCGAAAACCAAUGAAAAGUUUCCAACACGUUCCGUUGCAUAACAUCCCUCUUUUAUAAGAACAUAAUUAAAUUCGACGUCCUUCAUUUUCUCCCGAGUCUUUCAGUAAAGAUAAGUGUUUAGAGGGCGGAAUCAGGUCAUGUUUCCUGGAUUCAGUCCUCCAAAUCAUUUGAGUAAGCGCUACCAUUAUCCUCUCAUAGUGUGAAAAAAUUCAGUAAUGAGUCAAUACACGGAUGUAGUAUGGUGGUUAGAUUCUGUAAGCAAUCAUUUAUUACUAAGAUCUGUAGUAACGUGAGGAUUCUACGUCCAGCAUUUACGAAGGCGCAAGAAACACAAUACUUUCGUCACCAACUUUCUGCGGUGCUUAGUCUGAGAGAGACUCAAGUUGACAGCACAUUACACCUAGGACAGCGGUCGAGCUACGAACGGAUGAGAUAACAUAAUCAUUAAUGAAAUCAGUGUAACGUAGGGCGGAACUAAAAUUUCAUGCGCAAGAAGUUCAAUAAUUGCAAAAAGAGAGAAUACGCCCAGGAUAGGAUACAUGGAACUAGGCAAUGCUGUGUACUGGAGUUUUUGAAAUUGGAACUUUUAAUUUGUCUUUUAGUGCCUAUCCGAGUUCGGUUACAGAGGCUGCGGUCAGAGGUCCCGAAAGGGGAGCAAAUUGGGGGAUGCGAAGCACGUGUUCGGGAAAAGGAGAGGGUGGUGCCGAAAAGGAAACAAACACAUCAAGCAUCAGUCGCAAUCUCAACCACCGCAAAAAGAUCGGAGGGCAUAAAUAAUACGAGGAUCUCGUAAGCACAAGUGCCGGAACGGAUGGAUGGAUUAUCUGUGAAGCCGCCGUGUUGCCGCUUUUAUCAGCGAAUUUUGACUUACAGAAGGGAUGCGCCGCAGAAUUUUUGUAAAUUCAUAUUGAAAAUGUUGAAUGUUGAUUUAUACCCUAUACACGCCAGGGAACGAGGAAAGAAAUAGUCCCAAAAUAGAAUUUAAAAAAAAGUAAAGAUUUAAGCAUUUAUUUCUUCAGCCUUUUGAUUCAACCUUCGUGACUCCAUUCUGUGAAUUGCAGUAAUGGUCCAAAAUUAUUAGUAGUUACAGUUGCAUCUCAAAUUGUACUACUUUGAAUCUCCACUCAUGUUGAAUUUAUUUAAAAGAGAACCACCUGACUGUUUUUCUUGGAUUCUUCUGUACACUGGUAAAAAAAAAAAUUGCGGGUAUUUUGAAUCAGUGUAAUUAAUUUUCCCGUGUUUUGGCCUCAGCCAUCGGUAUUUUAAAGCUUUGUUUUAAAGUUUUAAGAAGCAAAAAACUUUUCACAGUUUUUAGUUUUUUGCACUGUAAUCAGCAAUCCACUCAAUGU